GAUGAACGCUGGCGGCGUGCCUAAUACAUGCAAGUCGAGCGAACGGACGAGAAGCUUGCUUCUCUGAUGUUAGCGGCGGACGGGUGAGUAACACGUGGAUAACCUACCUAUAAGACUGGGAUAACUUCGGGAAACCGGAGCUAAUACCGGAUAAUAUUUUGAACCGCAUGGUUCAAAAGUGAAAGACGGUCUUGCUGUCACUUAUAGAUGGAUCCGCGCUGCAUUAGCUAGUUGGUAAGGUAACGGCUUACCAAGGCAACGAUGCAUAGCCGACCUGAGAGGGUGAUCGGCCACACUGGAACUGAGCCACCGUCAAGACUCCUAAGGGAGGCAGCAGUAGGGAAUCUUCCGCAAUGGGCGAAAGCCUGACGGAGCAACGCGGCGUGAGUGAUGAAGGUCCUCGGAUCGUAAAACUCUGUUAUUAGGGAAGAACAUAUGUGUAAGUAAAUGUGCACAUCGUGACGGUACCUAAUCAGAAAGCCACGGCUAACUACGUG
RNAcentral lists this ribosomal RNA (497 nucleotides) under uncultured bacterium. RNAcentral's name for it is "partial 16S ribosomal RNA". It matches the Rfam family "Bacterial small subunit ribosomal RNA", at positions 28 to 507 of the family's 1533-position model. The record is from RNAcentral.